GAUGAACGCUGGCGGCGUCCCUAACACAUGCAAGUCGAGCGAAGCUGGGUCGGGUGAGUCACACGUGGAUAACCUCCUAUAAGACUGGGAUCACUUCGGCAAACCGGAGCUAAACCGGAUACUUAUAGAUGGAUCCGCGCUGCAUUAGCUAGUUGGUAAGUUAACGGCUUACCAAGGCAACUAUGGACAGCCGACCUGAGCGGGUGAUCGGCCACAAUGAAACUGAGACAGGGUCCAGAACCCGAUGGGAGGCAGCAGUAGGGAAUCUGCCGCAAGGGGAGAAAGCCUGACGGAGCAACUCCGCGUGAGUGAUGAAGGUAUUCGGAUCGUAAAACUCUUUUAUGAGGGAAGCGGGACCUAAUCAGAAAGCCACGGCUAACUACGUGCCAGCAGCCGCGGUAAUUC
Molecule: ribosomal RNA, 405 nt
Filed under: uncultured bacterium
Lineage: Bacteria
Description: partial 16S ribosomal RNA
Rfam family: Bacterial small subunit ribosomal RNA
Source: RNAcentral